GUGGAUUUUACUGCUUCCUGGUGUCCGCCAUGCCGUUUCAUUGCUCCAGUAUUCGCAGAGUUGGCUAAGGCGCACGCCCAUGUCAUUUUCCUGAAAGUAGACGUCGAUGAACUUAAAGAAAUUGCCGAGAAGUUCGAUGUUAAUGCAAUGCCGACCUUUGCUUUCGUGAAAGGAGGGGUGGAAGUUCACAGGAUUGUCGGUGCUGACAAAGUGGAGCUGGGGAAGAAAGUAUUGGAAUUGAGCGCUUCAGCGGCUGCAACUUCUGCUGCAUAGAUGGUCAGCUUGGAAGAACGUUCUCCCUCUUAUUAUUAUGGUGUAUUGAUGAUUCUGGUUUCGAGUUUGUUCUACUUGUGGAUUUCAUGACAUUAUGUCUGAGAUGUUUACUUGCUUAAUGAAUGUUUGUAGAAUAAUAAAUGUAUAAUAAGAUUUAAC
This 432-nucleotide unclassified non-coding RNA is filed under the name Hevea brasiliensis (rubber tree). The record is from RNAcentral. Lineage: Eukaryota; Viridiplantae; Streptophyta; Magnoliopsida; Malpighiales; Euphorbiaceae.